CAUUUUCCUGAUUCCCUUUCUCUCUCUUCGUGCAUCUCUCUCUCAACCCGUUCCGUUUGAGGCAAAACGAAGCUCGUGUCAAGCUCUAUACAUCCAUACCAUCAAUUUCCAGUUUUGAGUCUUCCUUGGAGCUCGAAUUUGAGGACCCAUUUUCUAGGGUUUUGGUGCAAUCUUGAGGUCUUGGAAAAGAACCGGUGGACGACAAUCCACCCUAACUUUGAAAGUUGCUAGAGGAGCAUUUUCCUUGUUAUUUUGUAGUAGACUACUC
This is a long non-coding RNA of Cornus florida, 268 nucleotides long. RefSeq lists it as uncharacterized. The record is from RefSeq and is a predicted model, not a curated record. NCBI's taxonomy places the organism in Eukaryota, Viridiplantae, Streptophyta, Magnoliopsida, Cornales, Cornaceae. The transcript has 3 exons.